This 412-nucleotide ribosomal RNA is filed under the name uncultured microorganism. RNAcentral describes it as "bacterial SSU rRNA". It matches the Rfam family "Archaeal small subunit ribosomal RNA", at positions 330 to 745 of the family's 1478-position model. The record is from RNAcentral.
GCGCACCAGUCGAGAAUCCUUCGCAAUGCGGGAAACCGCGACGAGGGACUCCCAGUGCCUACGCUCAGCGUAGGCUGUUCCCGAGCCUAGAAAGCUCGGGGAGUAAGGGCUGGGUAAGACGGGUGCCAGCCGCCGCGGUAAUACCCGCAGCCCGAGUGGUGGCCACUAUUAUUGGGCCUAAAGCGUCCGUAGCCGGCCCGGUAAAUGCCUGGGUAAAUCGUGAGGCCUAACCUCACGAAUUCCGGGUAGACUGCCGGGCUAGGGACCGGAGGAGGGAGAGGGUACUCCAGGGGUAGGGGUGAAAUCCUGUAAUCCCUGGAGGACCACCGGUGGCGAAGGCGCUCUCCUAGGACGGGUCCGACGGUGAGGGACGAAAGCCAGGGGAGCGAACCGGAUUAGAUACCCGUGUAGU